RNAcentral lists this long non-coding RNA (2394 nucleotides) under Panax ginseng (ginseng). RNAcentral describes it as "long non-coding RNA (PGIN_LNC017475)". Lineage: Eukaryota; Viridiplantae; Streptophyta; Magnoliopsida; Apiales; Araliaceae. The record is from RNAcentral.
GGAGGUGCGACUGAGGAGGCAAAGUCGAAGAGGAACUAAGGAGAGGAGUCGUGAAGUCUUGAGGAAGAGGAGUCAGCGAGUCGCGUUGUUGAUGUUGUGAAGGCAGAGGAGUCGAUGUCGUGAAGGCUGAGGACUUAGAGGAGACUAAUAAGAGGACUCGAUGUCGAGUUUAGGGCUUUAAACUUCAUCACGAUGGCUGUUGGGGUAAGUAGAAGACCCAUGGGUCAUGGGUAAAAAAAAAGUUGGCCAAAGCUACCUAGGAGUGUGCGCCUUGAUAGCUCGGUGCCUCACAGCGUCGCCUAGGCGACGACAUGAGACACCGAGCUACCAAGGCACACGCCUUGGUAGCCCUACCUCAAGUCGAAGCACGACAUGACCUUCUCUUCAUCGCCAGGACGCCUAGGCGUCGCCUAGGGACGCCUUGGCGAUGCAAGGCGUUGUAGUAACAACUAUGUUCUAAAUGUAUCAUCUUUUCUUGACGAUAUGAGAAACGUAGUCCAAUAUGUUAAAUGGGGAUGGAACUUCAAUACACUAUUCAUAUCCUGAUCAUGUAACUAAGUAUAUAUGAUUAUUUACAUGUCUUAUUUGUUUGCAUAUAUGCCUUCCAUGCAGUUUAUUAGUAUUGGUGAAUUUCCUUAACAGCUUCAUCCAAACUCCAACAGAAAAAAGGAGCCACUGAACUGCCCUUCUUUUCUCUAUAUGCAUAUGCAUUUGAUUGUGCAGGUGUAUAUUUCACAACUUGUCUACGUGUGUUUUUCGUUGUGAUUUUGGUGAUGCUUUUAUUUCUUUGCUUUCAGUUUUCUAUUUGUUACUGCUUAUUUCAUUGGUUGAUGUCCAUGGCUUAAUGCAUCUGUCUACUUUAAUAUGUGAUCUAUCGUCAUUUGGAGCAAAAUUGUUUACAGACCUGCACCUUAGCUCACUUGUGAAUCUGUGUAAAUUAAUUAUGAAAAUACAUCUUGUCUAUAUACAAAAACUCAUGCUAGCAGUACAUGUUCUUUACCUGUUUCCUCAAAAUGAUCUCCUAUGAGAUUUAAAUUACUAAGGCCUCUAAAAGUUUUCUACACUAGCAGAACUGUAACAGAACGCAGAACACAAUUAUGAAAUUGCACAUAGAUUCUUCUGUCGGUCGCCGCCAAAUCCCAGCGGAUCCCCAAAUCCAGAUUUUUCUGGAUUCUUAUAGGGGAUUCUUUUGUAUUUUUUAUUGACAAAAGUUUAAAAAAUUAUAAAUACUAUAUAUAUACUAUAGUAAUUAAUACAAUAUUUUAAAUACUAGCAUUAUCUACGAAAUUAGUAAAAGAACUGAUUAGUAUGUAUUUCAUAAAUUCCUAGAUAGCAGUAGUAUAUACAAUGUUGUAUUUCAUGAGUUUUUUUUAAACAUUUUAUCAGGAAUUAAUAUUUAUUAAAAUUUUAAUGUAAUUUCAUGUACGUAUUAAAGUCUGUUUAAUACGUAAAUAUGUGCCACAAGUUCCCAUUUUUUGAGAUUUGCUUAACUGUCAAAUCCCCAUAUGGCAAAUUUGAAUCCUCAAACCCUACCCAAAUCCUUGCUUUUUAGGCAUAUAGAGCUUUUAAAUAUUUAACUAAUCAAUAAAACCAGUGAUUAUGAUGAAUAAAAGAACUCGUACAUCCAACGGGCAUGGUCUUCAAACUGAUGGUCUGAUACUGAUAUUUGUCGAAACAUAAACCUUACAUUAUCUAGGACCACUCCAUUAACCUUCUAAAUUAGUAUAAUAGAGUUCAAAUGAUGUUCUCUAUUUUAUAUCUGCAGGCAACAUCUGAGGCUGCUGCCGAGAAACAGAUCCAGCAACUCUUAUUCCCACGCUCACGCAGGAAAAAAGUCGGUUCUCAUGCUGAUGGACUUGGGGAUCUCCAUCCACUUUAAAUAUCCUGAUCCGGCUACUAUACCUUUCGUAACAGUUUUAAAAAUAAGUUUUGAUCUUAGAAUUCAAUCUAGAGGUCUCAUUUAUUUUUUUCAGUCAGUUCAUUUUUGAAUUGAACUUUUUUUUGUAAUGUAUUGCUACCUUUUUCAGAUUGAAUAUGUUGGUGUAACAGAAUAAAAAGGGUUCUCUUGUACAAUAUACUAAAUUAAUAUGAAUCCUGAUACCCUGAUUAAUAAAGCAGCUUCUUCAUAUUCUAUAGAAAUGAUUCCUUUCUUAGAAUCCCCAUAGGGUUCUACAAGCUUAAUCUCAUUUUACCAUCUUUUAUAUUUUAACCUGUAGGGCUCGAGUUUUGGCUUGCCGAGGUCGCUCAACUGAAAGUCAAACAAACUCGAGUCGAAGUCGAAUUUAAUCAAGUCGAGAUAAAUUAAAUUUAAAUAUUUAUUCAAUUAAUUAUUUUUAUGUUUUUAUAUAAGGUUAUAUGUAUAUACACAGUUGUGUAUUACACAGUCGGGCUAUG